Molecule: long non-coding RNA, 480 nt
Filed under: Setaria viridis
Lineage: Eukaryota; Viridiplantae; Streptophyta; Magnoliopsida; Poales; Poaceae
Description: long non-coding RNA (SVIR_LNC010271)
Source: RNAcentral
UUGAAUACUACUAUUUGGAUACGGAGAAUACUAUCAUUUGGAUUACUUAAAUACCAUGAUUUGGACCUUGUCAUGAUUUGAUUUGCAUACUUAGGACCUAGAAAAUCUACAACUAGGCAAAGAAUUAAUCUCAAUAACUAUAUUGUCACUUAAUCAUCAAAAUCACAAAUAAUGGUCUAAUGGGAUCAUGUUCCUUACAACCAGUAGAGCUCAACCAUCCACUUACGCCUGCCAAAUAUUGUUGUUUAACAACUAGUAACGAUGGAUUACAAAGUUUAAUUUCGCAGGAAACAACAGAGCAGAUAGCGGAGAGGACGGAAUCAAAACCUUAUCCUGCAGCCGCUAGCUUGAGCUCAGCCACGUGCUGCUCGUGCUUCUCCCGCGAGCUCCCACCACUACCGCCCUCCUUAUCCAUUACAUUGUCCAACUCUUCCUUCUCCUCCUCGUCGUCGUCCAAGACGGGCAAGUCCACUAAACCCC